GAUUAACGCUGGCGGCGUGCAUAACACAUGCAAGUCGAACGAUGAAACUUAAAUGACUUCUUCGGAAUGAUUUUAAUUGGAUUAGUGGCGAACGGGUGAGUAACGCGUGAGUAACCUGCCUUACACAAGGGGAUAGCCUCUGGAAACGGAGAAUAAUACCCUAUGAAACUAUCUUAUCGCAUGAAAAGAUAGUCAAAGUGUUUUAGCGGUGUAAGAUGGACUUGCGUCUGAUUAGCUAGUUGGUGAGAUAACAGCCCACCAAGGCAACGAUCAGUAGCCGGCUUGAGAGAGUGUACGGCAACAUUGGGACUGAGACACGGCCCAGACUCCUACGGGAGGCAGCAGUGGGGAAUUUUGCACAAUGGGGGCAACCCUGAUGCAGCGACGCCGCGUGAUUUAGAAGGCCUUCGGGUUGUAAAAAUCUUUUGUAUAGGAAGAAAAUGACAGUACUAUACGAAUAAGGUCCGGCUAAUUACGUG
This 479-nucleotide ribosomal RNA is filed under the name uncultured bacterium. Its description in RNAcentral is "partial 16S ribosomal RNA". It matches the Rfam family "Bacterial small subunit ribosomal RNA", at positions 28 to 507 of the family's 1533-position model. The record is from RNAcentral.